Molecule: transfer-messenger RNA, 312 nt
Filed under: Acetobacteraceae bacterium
Lineage: Bacteria; Pseudomonadati; Pseudomonadota; Alphaproteobacteria; Acetobacterales; Acetobacteraceae
Rfam family: Alphaproteobacteria transfer-messenger RNA
About the family: Bacterial tmRNA, also known as 10Sa RNA or SsrA, is named for its dual tRNA and mRNA-like properties.
Source: RNAcentral
CCACUUCCAGCCGGCGGCGAGCAUGCCUAUAUUGGUUUCGCCGGUUCGCCGGCUACGGCGAUAAACGGUUCGUGGCAUAAGCGUUGUGGACCCGGGGGCAGUGCCCGGCGCCUCCACCAUCUCAGACCCGCUCGAGUCUGAACAUGGGGGCGAAACAGGCUCGACACGCGUGGUAAAGACGGAUCUUUCGCCCGGCAUGGUUCCGCCGUUAUCGGGCCGAUUUACAAGUGCCAAUGACAACAAGGCGCUCGCUCUCGCUGCAUAAGCGAUAAGCGCGGUUCGGGGGGCACCGGGCAACAGAAGCCCCCCACU